AAGGAGAAGAAGAAGAAGAAGGAAGGAGGUAGUUUAGUGUUGAUUUUCAUUUUCCCUUCCCUUUAUUCUCUUCAAGAAGUAGAGAAAUUUUAUUAGUUAAAAUUUCAAAUUUUGAAAUGAAUACUACUUGGAGUUCAAGUUAUUGAUUCUUUAAUUCCUAUCUACACUAAGGUGGUGACGAAGAAAUUGGAAAAGCUUACCGAUCGGCCUAAUCUGUAGCUCGUAUUGAUGUAUGACCAGAUAGCUCUGCGCGCGUAUGACCGAAAUUUCAGAAUUUCAGAAUUACAGAAUUGAAUAGUUUUGCCAUGUCUAUCGGUGCUAACAGAUACAUGAGUAUAGUUAUUUCAGGUACCUUUUUGGUUUGAUUUUUCAGUAUUAUACAGCUUAAUAGAUUUCAGAAUACAUGAUUUAGCUUAUUUAAGUUAAAGAUUAAAGAUCUUAGCUUAAAGCACUGUAUAAUGAUAUUUUAUUAUAAAUUAGUUUUUAGAAAAUUAGCAUAAAUGGAAAAAGUAUAUUUGUUUACAAAAUUAUCCACUCACUGAGUUACGAGCUCAUAUAUUUCAUCUUCGAUUUUCUUAUUAGACAGUAGCGCGUUGAGUCGCAUCGGAGCCUGUUGAAUUACCAAAUUGAGCCACUCAGCUGUUAUUCAUAUGUUUCUUUUUGUCAGUUUAUACUAUUCAUAAUUUUUGGAAGUAGAUGCAUCUUUUGUUAGUUUA
Olea europaea var. sylvestris is the source of this 716-nucleotide long non-coding RNA. RefSeq lists it as uncharacterized. Lineage: Eukaryota; Viridiplantae; Streptophyta; Magnoliopsida; Lamiales; Oleaceae. The record is from RefSeq and is a predicted model, not a curated record. The transcript has 3 exons.